GGAAGGAUCAUUAUUGAAUGUGCUUGAUAGGUUGUCGCUGGCUUCAUAUGAAGUAUUGUGCACGCCUGUCUUGACUUCAUUCAUCCACCUGUGCACCCGUUGUAGUCUUUUGUUUUCUCUUUUCUUGCGUUAUAUAACCAUGAAUCGAGUGGAAGGACUAUGCCAUUCAUUACAAACCAUGUAGUAUGUUGUCAGAAUGUGUUCCAAGGGCUUUGAUGCCCAUAAAUCUUUAUACAACUUUCAGCAACGGAUCUCUUGGCUCUCGCAUCGAUGAAGAACGCAGCGAAAUGCGAUAAGUAAUGUGAAUUGCAGAAUUCAGUGAAUCAUCGAAUCUUUGAACGCACCUUGCGCUCCUUGGUAUUCCGAGGAGCAUGCCUGUUUGAGUGUCAGUAAAUCCUCAAGUCCAUCAGCUUUUCUAGUUGGGGUGACUUGGAAAUGGAGGACCUGCGGGCCUUGUAUAAUAUAGGCCGGCUCCUCUGAAAUGCAUUAGCAGAACGAUACUGGAAUUGCCACAGAGUGUGAUAAUAUCUACACUAGUGGAUCACCCAUAGUUGUUUCAGCUUCUAACUGUCCCGCAAAGGUGACAACUAUUUACUGAAUGUUUGACCUCAAAUCAGGUAGGAUUACCCGCUGAACUUAAGCAUAUCAAUAAGCGGAGGAAAAGAAACUAACAAGGAUUCCCCUAGUAACUGCGAGUGAAGCGGGAAAAGCUCAAAUUUAAAAUCUGGUGGUCUAUAGCCAUCCGAGUUGUAAUCUAGAGAAGUGUUGCCCGCGCUGGACCGUGUAUAAGUCUCCUGGGAUGGAGCGUCAUAGAGGGUGAGAAUCCCGUCUCUGACACGGACUACCAGGGCUUUGUGGUACGCUCUCAAAGAGUCGAGUUGUUUGGGAAUGCAGCUCAAAAUGGGUGGUAAAUUCCAUCUAAAGCUAAAUAUUGGCGAGAGACCGAUAGCGAACAAGUACCGUGAGGGAAAGAUGAAAAGAACUUUGGAAAGAGAGUUAAACAGUACGUGAAAUUGCUGAAAGGGAAACGCUUGAAGUCAGUCGCGUUGACCAGGGAUCAGCCUCGCUGUUUGCGUGGUGUACUUUCUGGUUGACGGGUCAGCAUCAAUUUUGACCGUUGGAAAAAGGCUUGAGGAAUGUGGCAGCUCCGGCUGUGUUAUAGCUUCUGGUCAUAUACAGCGGUUAGGAUUGAGGAACUCAGCGCCGCUAAGGCCUAGGAUGCCGGCAUAAUGGCUCUAAGCGACCCGUCUUGAAACACGGACCAAGGAGUCUAACAUGCAUGCGAGUGUUUGGGUGAAAAACUCAAGUGCAUAAUGAAAGUGAAAGUUGAGAUCCCUUUGGGAGCAUCGACGCCCGGACCAGAACUAUUGGGACGGAUCCGCGGUAGAGCGUGUAUGUUGGGACCCGAAAGAUGGUGAACUAUGCCUGAAUAGGGUGAAGCCAGAGGAAACUCUGGUGGAGGCUCGUAGCGAUUCUGACGUGCAAAUCGAUCGUCAAAUUUGGGUAUAGGGGCGAAAGACUAAUCGAACCAUCUAGUAGCUGGUUCCUGC
Molecule: unclassified non-coding RNA, 1550 nt
Filed under: uncultured Agaricales
Lineage: Eukaryota; Fungi; Basidiomycota; Agaricomycetes; Agaricales
Description: sequence contains 18S rRNA gene, ITS1, 5.8S rRNA gene, ITS2, 28S rRNA gene
Rfam family: Eukaryotic large subunit ribosomal RNA (bases 604-1550)
Source: RNAcentral